AGGAAUUUUCGGCAAUGGAGGAAACUCUGACCGAGCAACGCCGCGUGAACGAUGAAGUAUUUAGGUACGUAAAGUUCUUUUAUUAAAGAAGAAAAAAUGAUGGAAAAAUCAUUCUGACGGUAUUUAAUGAAUAAGCCCCGGCUAACUAUGUGCCAGCAGCUGCGGUAAUACAUGGGGGGCAAGCGUUAUCCGGAUUUAUUGGGCGUAAAGGGUGCGUAGGCGGUUAAAUAAGUCUAUGGGAUAAGUUCAACGCUUAACGUUGUGAUGCUAUAGAAACUGUUUGACUAGAGUUGGAUAGAGGCAAGUGGAAUUCCAUGUGUAGCGGUAAAAUGCGUAAAUAUAUGGAGGAACACCAGUAGCGAAGGCGGCUUGCUGGGUCUUAACUGACGCUGAGGCACGAAAGCGUGGGGAGCAAACAG
RNAcentral lists this ribosomal RNA (419 nucleotides) under Candidatus Phytoplasma prunorum. RNAcentral's name for it is "bacterial SSU rRNA". It matches the Rfam family "Bacterial small subunit ribosomal RNA", at positions 357 to 775 of the family's 1533-position model. Lineage: Bacteria; Bacillati; Mycoplasmatota; Mollicutes; Acholeplasmatales; Acholeplasmataceae. The record is from RNAcentral.